This 277-nucleotide ribosomal RNA is filed under the name Escherichia coli. RNAcentral's name for it is "partial 23S ribosomal RNA". It matches the Rfam family "Bacterial large subunit ribosomal RNA", at positions 1 to 269 of the family's 2925-position model. The record is from RNAcentral. Lineage: Bacteria; Pseudomonadati; Pseudomonadota; Gammaproteobacteria; Enterobacterales; Enterobacteriaceae.
GGGUUGUGAGGUUAAGCGACUAAGCGUACACGGUGGAUGCCCUGGCAGUCAGAGGCGAUGAAGGACGUGCUAAUCUGCGAUAAGCGUCGGUAAGGUGAUAUGAACCGUUAUAACCGGCGAUUUCCGAAUGGGGAAACCCAGUGUGAUUCGUCACACUAUCAUUAACUGAAUCCAUAGGUUAAUGAGGCGAACCGGGGGAACUGAAACAUCUAAGUACCCCGAGGAAAAGAAAUCAACCGAGAUUCCCCCAGUAGCGGCGAGCGAACGGGGAGCAGCC